GACGUAGGGUGCAAGCGUUGUCCGGAUUUAUUGGGCGUAAAGAGCUUGUAGGCGGUUUGUCGCGUCUGCUGUGAAAUUUCGGGGCUCAACCCCGAACUUGCAGUGGGUACGGGCAGACUAGAGUGUGGUAGGGGAGACUGGAAUUCCUGGUGUAGCGGUGAAAUGCGCAGAUAUCAGGAGGAACACCGAUGGCGAAGGCAGGUCUCUGGGCCACUACUGACGCUGAGAAGCGAAAGCAUGGGGAGCGAACAGG
This 253-nucleotide ribosomal RNA is filed under the name uncultured bacterium. RNAcentral describes it as "partial 16S ribosomal RNA". It matches the Rfam family "Bacterial small subunit ribosomal RNA", at positions 524 to 776 of the family's 1533-position model. The record is from RNAcentral.